ACUAACACGUGUUUCCGCUAUAGCAGUAAACAGCAACAUGGAUUUUCAUGAUUAUUUUACGAUGGAGAACACGUCAAUUCAUCAGAUAUGACGGGUCUUUUCUUUGGCAUUAGAUGUGACAUGUGUAGUGUGCUGGUACCAAAGGCUUCAGAACUUUCGUCUGUGAAGACCCACUUGCUAAUCCCAACCAAUGGCCACCAUGCACAGAAAAUACCAUGAUGUGGAGGAUAUAGGUGCUUAGUUAUUAGAGUCGGGACACAAUACAUUUAGAAACUGAUCAUGCCUUGGUCAAAUCAAAG
Long non-coding RNA from Saccostrea cuccullata (small rock oyster), 299 nucleotides. RefSeq lists it as uncharacterized. Lineage: Eukaryota; Metazoa; Mollusca; Bivalvia; Ostreida; Ostreidae. The record is from RefSeq and is a predicted model, not a curated record. The transcript is spliced from 3 exons.